This 504-nucleotide ribosomal RNA is filed under the name uncultured bacterium. RNAcentral describes it as "partial 16S ribosomal RNA". It matches the Rfam family "Bacterial small subunit ribosomal RNA", at positions 30 to 523 of the family's 1533-position model. The record is from RNAcentral.
AUUGAACGCUGGCGGCAGGCCUAACACAUGCAAGUCGAACGGUAGCACAGAGAGCUUGCUCUCGGGUGACGAGUGGCGGACGGGUGAGUAAUGUCUGGGAAACUGCCCGAUGGAGGGGGAUAACUACUGGAAACGGUAGCUAAUACCGCAUAACGUCGCAAGACCAAAGUGGGGGACCUUCGGGCCUCACACCAUCGGAUGUGCCCAGAUGGGAUUAGCUAGUAGGUGGGGUAAUGGCUCACCUAGGCGACGAUCCCUAGCUGGUCUGAGAGGAUGACCAGCCACACUGGAACUGAGACACGGUCCAGACUCCUACGGGAGGCAGCAGUGGGGAAUAUUGCACAGUGGGCGCAAGCCUGAUGCAGCCAUGCCGCGUGUAUGAAGAAGGCCUUCGGGUUGUAAAGUACUUUCAGCGGGGAGGAAGGCGUUAAGGUUAAUAACCUUGGCGAUUGACGUUACCCGCAGAAGAAGCACCGGCUAACUCCGUGCCAGCCGCCGCGGUAA